CGACUCAGACAAAUGAUCGCAGCUGCAAAGCCGAAAGGCUGCAGGUGAGGAAAGUCCGGGCUUCAUAGGGCAGGGUGCCGGAUAACGUCCGGUGGAGGCGACUCCCAGGCUAGUGCAACAGAAAUAUACCGCUUCCUUUGGAAGUAAGGGUGGAAAGGCGAGGUAAGAGCUCACCGCUGUCCUGGUAACAGGGCAGGCUCUGUAAACCCCACUCGAAGCAAGACCGAAUAGAGAGCUAUGUGGCUGCCCGUCACGUUCUCGGGUAGGUCGCUUGAACCUGUUGGCAACAGCAGGUCUAGAUAGAUGAUCAUUCAACGACAUAACCCGGCUUAUCGUCUGAGUCAGAUU
RNAcentral lists this RNase P RNA (348 nucleotides) under Lachnospiraceae bacterium. Its description in RNAcentral is "RNase P RNA component class A". It matches the Rfam family "Bacterial RNase P class A". Rfam says of the family: Ribonuclease P (RNase P) is a ubiquitous endoribonuclease, found in archaea, bacteria and eukarya as well as chloroplasts and mitochondria. Its best characterised activity is the generation of mature 5'-ends of tRNAs by cleaving the 5'-leader elements of precursor-tRNAs. Lineage: Bacteria; Bacillati; Bacillota; Clostridia; Lachnospirales; Lachnospiraceae. The record is from RNAcentral.